GCCCGGCUAGUUCAACGGCAGAACGCGCCCUUCGUACGGCCGAGAUUGGGGUUCAAUUCCUCAGCCGGGCUCCA
RNAcentral lists this transfer RNA (74 nucleotides) under Phenylobacterium soli. RNAcentral describes it as "Phenylobacterium sp. LX32 tRNA-Thr". It matches the Rfam family "tRNA". From Rfam's summary of the family: Transfer RNA (tRNA) molecules are approximately 80 nucleotides in length. Their secondary structure includes four short double-helical elements and three loops (D, anti-codon, and T loops). The record is from RNAcentral. Lineage: Bacteria; Pseudomonadati; Pseudomonadota; Alphaproteobacteria; Caulobacterales; Caulobacteraceae.